CUACGGGAUGCUGCAGUGAGGAAUAUUGCACAAUGGGGGGAACCCUGAUGCAGCAACGCCGCGUGGAGGAUGACGCAUUUCGGUGUGUAAACUCCUUUUAUAUGUCAAGAAAAUGACGGUAGCAUAUGAAUAAGCACCGGCUGAACUCCGUGCCAGCAGCCGCGGUAAUACGGAGGGUGCAAGCGUUACUCGGAAUCACUGGGCGUAAAGGACGCGUAGGCGGGUUGGAAAGUCAGGUGUGAAAUCCUACAGCUUAACUGUAGAACUGCACUUGAAACUUCUAAUCUAGAGUAUGGGAGGGGGAGAUGGAAUUAGUGGUGUAGGGGUAAAAUCCGUAGAUAUCACUAGGAAUACCUAAAGCGAAGGCGAUCUCCUGGAACAUUACUGACGCUAAGGCGUGAAAGCGUGGGGAGCAAACAGGAUUAGAUACCCGUGUAGUC
This 440-nucleotide ribosomal RNA is filed under the name uncultured bacterium. RNAcentral describes it as "partial 16S ribosomal RNA". It matches the Rfam family "Bacterial small subunit ribosomal RNA", at positions 339 to 795 of the family's 1533-position model. The record is from RNAcentral.